AAAUAUAUGAUACAUGCACCAUUAGUCUGUCACCCAAUUACUGGAUUGGAAAGUAUCCGCUCAGUGACUUUCGGUUGUUGGACUGUAAUAAUUCACAGCUUGUGACUGCAUCAGACGCACACUAAAUGUAGGAGGUUUGAAUCUUGUUGGGACUUUUUGUGUAUACUGUUGCAUUGAUGCCGGUAAUUCAAUAUUCCUUCUACCUUUUUUGGUCUACACUUGGUGUAAUAUUGGUCGAUGUGUCUGGCUUUGCUUCUCAGGUACAUGAGUCAUCAAUUAGUCAAAAGAAGGGGAUAAAGGCAUUGUCCUUUAUAUUUUUGGACACCGGCAUUAUCUCCUAAGCUUUGUUUACUGGAGAGGAAAGAUGCUGGUUUUAACCUUGUAACUAUUUACUGUCAAAAAAUAUAUGAUUACUUGCAUAAUUACCUCAUAAUUCUAUCAUACUGACACAUAAUCCUUGUUGGUAUUCAACUUGACUUUUUGGUUUACUUGGCGUUGUUCUCAUAUCUUUUUUUUCUAUAUUUCUUCCAACAUUCAGAAGUUCAUAGGUUUUUGUUCUGGUUUGGGGCAGACCACUGUUCCUGAUAUCUUGGUACUACUUGACAUCAGCAUUUUUUAAGAGUUGCUCUGUUCCUUGGGAACCUGCUGUCUAAGUGGUCUUCAAGGUGGUGGUGAAGCAAUAUCUUUACAUUGUCUUCUGGGUGAUGGAAUGUGAUCUUCAUUCUUAUACGAAUCCAUUUUCUUAGUGCUGCUUCAUCUGCCGAUAGAAAUCCUCAUGGUCAAAGAUAUGUAUACGUCUUUUCUCCACUUUCUGAGGUAAGCUAGAAAUAGAUUGAAAAUUUGAAAUUAUGUCAACUAUUAAUUCACAUAAAAAAAUGUCAACACUUGCCUUGGUAACUCUAAGAUUUGUUUUAAGGUGCAAUAACCUUUGAUCGUUCAGUUGGGAGGCAGCAGAAUCAAAGUUGGCUGCAUGUUUUUUGUAUCUCUAUGCUGACUGCUCUUAUUUGCAAUUCCUCUUCAUUUCUUCUUUCUUCAAGAUAUAGAAUCUGGUUCANACCGUCAGAAAUAUAUGAUACAUGCACCAUUGGUCUGUCACCCAAUUACUGGAUUGGAAAGUAUCCGCUCAGUGACGUUCGGCUGCUGGACUGUAAUAAUUCACAGCUUGGGACUGCAUCAGACGCACACUAAAUGUAGGAGGUUUGAAUCUUGUUGGGACUUUUCGUGUAUGCUGUUGCAUUGAUGCCGGUAAUUCAAUUUUCCUUCUACCUUUUUUGGUCUAUCAUUGGUAUAAUAUUGGUCAAUGUGUCUGGCUUUGCUUCUCAGGUACACGAGUCAUCAAUUAGUCAAAAGAAGGGGAUAAAGGCAAAGGCAUGGUCCUUUAUAUUUUUGGACAAAGCUUUGUUUACUGGAGAGGAAAGAUGCUGUGUUUAACCUUGUAACUAUUUACUGUCAAAAAUAUAUGAUUACUUGCAUAAUUACCUCAUAAUUCUAUCAUACUGACACAUAAACCUUGUUGAUGUUCAACUUGACUUUUUGGUCUACUUGGCAUUGUUCUCAUAUCUUCUUUUUUUUCUAUAUUUCUUCCAACCUUCAGAAGUUCAUAUGUUUUUGUUCUGGUUUGGGGCAGACCACUGUUCCUGAUGUCUUGGUACUACUUGACAUCAGCCUUUUUUAAGAGUUGCUCUGUUCCUUGGGAACCUGCUGUCUAAGUGGUCUUCAAGGUGGUGGUGAAGCAAUAUCUUUACAUUGUUUUCUGGGUGAAACUGAUUUUUUCCCAGUUGCAUGGAAUGUGAUCUUCAUUCUUAUACGAAUCCAUUUUCUUAGUGCUGGUUCAUCUGCCGAUAGAAAUCCUCGUGGUCAAAGAUAUACGUCUUCUCUCCACUUUCCAAGGUAAGCUAGAAAUAGAUUGAAAUUAUGUCAACUGUUAAUUCACAUAAAAAAUGUCAACACUUGCCUUUGUAACUCUAAGAUUUGUUUUAAGGUGCGAUAACCUUUGAUUGUUCAGUUGGGAGCCAGCAGGAUCAAAGUUGGCUGCAUGUUCUUUGUAUCUAUGCUGACUGCUCUUAUUUGCAAUUCCUCUUCAUUUCUCCUUUCUUCAAGAUAUAGAAUAUAGUUCACUUGGUAUAAAUGAUAUGAUUCUGAAACAUGGUAAUGGAGAUUGCUUUAUCCUCUGAUGAUAUUUGUAAGUCGAUAUUCCAUCCUGGCCAUUUCGUAUAUGGUUCAAUUCAGUUCUCCCCGUGUCAACAGUUCUGUUUGGUUGAUUCCUUCUUUAAAUACAUUAUAUAUAUUCUGAGGGUUACAGAGGAUGUUCCUGUUGCUAGAUUUGAAGAACCUGUAGCAGAUAUCUAUAUGAUUAAUCAGCUUCAUUUGCUGUUGACAGCAAAAACAGUUUCAUUGCAGAAUCUCUCUUUCCAAAGACAGCAAAACUUAUUUGAUUCAUUUGCCAAUGAUCUUUCUUGACACAAUUAAGGGUGUAAUUAGUGUGUUUCGUGCAGUCUUUUAUUUAGUUGGCUCUCAUUUCAGCAGUUGAUUUCCAUUUGAGGACAAGUUUCAGAGUUUAUGGAUGUUCAGAUCCUCUGCUUUGUAGUAUUUGCUUUGGGAGCAACCCCACCCACGUCGAAUUCCUAAUAAGAAGUUUUGUCAUGACAAAUUUACAUUGGACACAGUGGGAGGCUUGCAAAGCAUUUAUUUUUUGGACAACAAAUGCAUACGAGUGAAAUCUUAAUAUCAGGUAGUGACCUCAUUUCCUUAGCAAUCUUCUCAAACCUAGUUAUGACUAUGAAGUGGCUUAAACUACCAUUGGGGUUUUGUUUCUCUAUCUAGAUUAUGAAAUACCACAGCUCUUAUCACUAGAUGGAUUUCAAGAAAGUCAACAAAGGUGGAGAAUUCAGUGAAAAAAGGCUGUCUUUAGGAAUAUAUGUUACAAGGUCCGAAAGGUUUGUGUCGGGAACCCACCCAAUUCAUAGAAAUAGAAGGAUGGCAGCCAUUAACUCCUCAUUCCUUGACACGAAGACCGAGGUAGGGGGAAAAAAUCAACUGGUGGUCAAAUAGAGUGAAAUUGGGUAUUUUCCCAGUAAUUAAUUCCGUAACUGCAUUCUCAACAUAGAAGAAAAUAAUUCUUGGCUUGCUUAUGAAGAAAUUGGCAUUAACAAGACAACUUGUUGUCCCAAAAAAACAAGCAAAAGCUACCAAGAUGCAGGACAGAACUAUGUAUUUGAUGUUAUGAGAUAACAAUGACUUUUGUUUCCACUUUAUAUCUUCUUAGAGACAAAAUGCUUUGUUAAUCCAUGCAUAAGAAUAUAUCUGCACAAUAAUUUAUUUGGACAUACAGUAGCCGUAGCAGGAAAUUUUGUCCACAAAAUCCAGUGCAACUGCCCCCACUUGGCCUCAAGGGCAGCUCUGCCUCAGGUUGAGAAACAGGCUCUGGAGAUGUGUAAGAAAAGUGAUAUCUGUUACUUCCACACUUGAAGAUGCUUCAUAACUUUCCAGUAACUUCAGUUUGGUGGCUGUCCAAACAUGCUUACAUGUGUAUGUUAAAUAUUGCUUGUGGAAAAGCUUUACAAUUUAGAGUACUGCUGUCACCAAGGUGUUUAUGUUUGCAGCUAAUGUGGACUCUUUUGCAGCCUACUGAUAACUGAUAAAUUUUCUGUUAGCUAUGAAUUAUUCAUGCCAACAUUGUGAGAUAUGGUGGCACCUGGAGUCCCAAUCUAAGCUGUUUUGAUUCAUAUCUAGUGGCUGCAUCAGAUGAUACUGACUGUAGGAGGCUUGAAUCUUAUCGGUGCUAGUGGUAUUUAUUGCAUUAACCCUACUGAAAUAAUAUUUUCUUGUGUUGUAUCUGAGUACACACAGCAUGGUUAGUUAUAUUAAUUGCUCAGCUUAUACUAACUAUAACCAGCACCAUCCAAGCAUGGGAUCAGGGACACAAGUAGUACAUGACUGACCUCAUCAACUUUAUCUUGAGCAAAGGUUUAAUUACUCACCAUUAGAAAAAGGGACAAAGUUAGUGUCCUGGGUGUUGACCUUGGGUACCAGCAUCAAGUCCUAAGCUUUCUUUACUGAAGAAGAAAGAGGCAUUUGACCCUGGGACCAUGUAAGCUGUUUGCUACAUAAUAAGCAAUUGUGAGGAAACAUGCUCAUUAUUGCUCUGACAUACGAGCUCCAAGCAUCUCUGAGAACUGUCCAAACCAACAAAAGGAAACUAAAGUGCCUCUGUAAAGCACUAUCUGAAUCACAUUCAAAUCAAUAAUUGUAUUACAUUGAUGACGACUGGCAAAUACGAGGUUACUAAAGGUGUUUGGUACGCAGUUUUGUUUGCAUCAAAGUCUGUUAAAUUUAGUUCAUAAUCUGUCUAACUUAAGCAGUGAACUCAAUGCUAAAGUGCCUCAUGCCUCACUCCAACGGCUGCAUUUUUCUGCUCUUUUCUCGUGAAAUUUGAUAUUCGUUGGUAGAAGUAUGAAAUAUCAGGUAUGAUGGGAUAUCUUGCAGUGAGAUUAAAGUUUAGAUAUCUAUUGCAUGGAUUGAAGAUUGCACUUCAGAUAAUAAUACUUUAGUAGUUCCUUGCCCUUUUGCAUUUUGAUCAAAAUUAUGCUGAAGUUUUAUAGUGAGGAUGAAAUGCUGAAAGAUAAGCAAUUUAUUUAUGACAUGUUAAAGCCAUUGGUUACUGAUAUAUAUGAUAUUAUGAUAAAACUGGAUCAAGACGUGGUCAAUAGCGUCUGGGUGGUGGUAUGGUUACAGUUAACGUUUCAUUCUACAGAGCGUCGUUCUUUGAGGUGAGUGGUUAUCGAUCUUCCUUUUCUUUAGAUUCCAUAUCUAACUCCUUUUCUUCUGUUUUUAGUUUUGCAGAAUGUAUUAUUUUUUCCCCAUUACUAUUUUGUGUUCAUCGGAAAUGGUACCGUCUAGUUAUGAUUAUUUAAUAGACCUAUAACUGUGGUUUAAUUGUUUUCAAUUUGCAAUUUGGGUUCUUAACUUGUUGGUAAAUUUGUCUAAUUGUGUUUUGCGAGAAGCCUAAGAUUGGAUUGUAGUUGAGGGAGGACUGUGCUGGUCGUCUGAGGUGACCUCAUACAUGACGAUAAUAGAAAUGUCUCUUGGCUGGAGGUUGAUGAAACUCUUAUUCUUGGGUAUGUUACUUGAUUCAAUUGAGAUUCAAAUGUGGUCUUUUAUGGAAAAUAAGUUGUCCCAGUUCUUUUAUGUUAUAUUUAGUUCCUCUACCAUCGUGAUAUGUUUUAGUUUAACACAGUUUCCAAAGAAAUUUAUUUUGUAAGGCACUUGAUAGGAAAUGCCUUAGGUGUUGAAGUGGAUUUCUUAUCUUUAUCAUCAGGUCGAAAGUGUGGAAUAUGUAUGUACUUUCAUGAUAAUGUUGGGUGCAAUAUCAUGAAUACAAAUAGCUAUCUGUAUCUUGAUGGUACAUGUAGGAAAUUGAAGCUUGGAAGUAUUCUACCUGGUGAUUAACAAGAUUGUUAUGUAAUGUGAGUGAAGUAGUUGCAGCUAUGCUACAAACGUAGUUUUUGAAAUGUCUUUGUUUGGUACUUAAUUAUGUGAAUUUAAUUAGUCUUCCUGAUUAUCAUAAAUGAUUUUAUUUCCCUCUUGCAUUUUUGGUUCAUAGUCAAAUGCUGCCUAGAUCCCAAAGAAAUAUAAGGAGUUGGUAGAAUUAUAAAGGAAUGCUUGGAACUACUAUCAUUUUACCAAUAUUUUCCCUCCAUUUCACAAUUCUCUCAGUUUUAGAAUCUCUCUUUUCAUAAUAAUUUGAAUAUUUGCUUAGCAUAAUUUUUUGCAAGUGUUUAUAAACAGAUGAAAAUGAGUAAUAGAUAGUACUUAUAGGUCUUACGAAAUAUGCACUAUUAUACCCAUGUAGUAUGUUUGUAGAACUCCACUUAGAGUUCCCACGCAGGUUAUGUAGGGUUGAUUGCCAACUAGUUUUAGUAGUUGAGAUAUCAACAAAGAAAGAAAAUGUAGAGGGGAAAGAUUUAACAUAGUUUAUGGAUAGUGGCUGUAAUUCAAUGGUUUGGUGUUAGGAUGCAUGUUGCAUUGUUGCUUCAUUCUGUGUCGGUUUUGGUCUAGGUAGUAGACUCUUUUAACUCCGCCUAUGUUGCAUGUUCGCUUGAUACAGCCGGUCCCAAGCGCGAUAAAAGAGGAGGGAUGAGCUGACAUAUGGUGCAGUUGCCAAAUGGAUAAAGAUCUCGUGUGGAGUAUUUUUAAUGUUCUCACGUCUCGAUUUAGUCAUUUCGAGUAUGUGAUUGAUUCUGCAAUUAAUAGUUUUCUUAUACUCAUCUCCUUUUUUGAUUGCACAUAUUUUCUCAAUGAUCGGAUUGGUUAUAUGGUUAUAUCGUUUGGAUUCAUGGAAAGAUUGAUCAUUUAUUCAAAAGUUGUAUGAUAACUUGGAUUCAUACUUUUUGUAGUUUAUUAAUUUUUGCAUAUUUUGACAUGGUAAGAAGAA
Molecule: long non-coding RNA, 6433 nt
Filed under: Olea europaea subsp. europaea
Lineage: Eukaryota; Viridiplantae; Streptophyta; Magnoliopsida; Lamiales; Oleaceae
Source: RNAcentral